UACGUAGGGGGCAAGCGUUGUCCGGAUUUAUUGGGCGUAAAGGGCGUGUAGGCGGCUAGGUAGGUCCGUUGUGAAAACUCGAGGCUCAACCUCGAGACGUCGAUGGAAACCAUCUAGCUAGAGUCCGGAAGAGGCGAGUGGAACUCCUGGUGUAGCGGUGAAAUGCGCAGAUAUCAGGAAGAACACCAAUGGCGAAGGCAGCUCGCUGGGACGGUACUGACGCUGAGACGCGAAAGCGUGGGGAGCAAACAGG
Molecule: ribosomal RNA, 253 nt
Filed under: uncultured bacterium
Lineage: Bacteria
Description: partial 16S ribosomal RNA
Rfam family: Bacterial small subunit ribosomal RNA
Source: RNAcentral